AGCGGCGAACGGGUGAGUAACACGUAGGUCAUCUGCCCAUCAGAUGGGGACAACGAUUGGAAACGGUCGCUAAUACCGGAUAGGACGAAAGUUUAAAGGUGCUUCUGGCACCGCUGAUGGAUGAGCCUGCGGCGCAUUAGCUAGUUGGUAGGGUAAAGGCCUACCAAGGCGACGAUGCGUAGCCGACCUGAGAGGGUGAACGGCCACACUGGGACUGAGACACGGCCCAGACUCCUACGGGAGGCAGCAGUAGGGAAUCUUCGGCAAUGGGCGAAAGCCUGACCGAGCAACGCCGCGUGAAUGAUGGAGGCCUUCGGGUUGUAAAAUUCUGUUAUAAGGGAAGAACGACUUUAGUAGGAAAUGGCUAGAGUGUGACGGUACCUUAUGAGAAAGCCAUGGCUAACUACGUGCCAGCAGCCGCGGUAAUACGUAGGUGGCGAGCGUUAUCCGGAAUUAUUGGGCGUAAAGAGCGCGCAGGUGGUUGAUUAAGUCUGAUGUGAAAGCCCACGGCUUAACCGUGGAGGGUCAUUGGAAACUGGUCGACUUGAGUGCAGAAGAGGGAAGUGGAAUUCCAUGUGUAGCGGUGAAAUGCGUAGAGAUAUGGAGGAACACCAGUGGCGAAGGCGGCUUCCUGGUCUGUAACUGACACUGAGGCGCGAAAGCGUGGGGAGCAAACAGGAUUAGAUACCCUGGUAGUCCACGCCGUAAACGAUGAGUGCUAAGUGU
RNAcentral lists this ribosomal RNA (726 nucleotides) under uncultured bacterium. RNAcentral's name for it is "bacterial SSU rRNA". It matches the Rfam family "Bacterial small subunit ribosomal RNA", at positions 94 to 823 of the family's 1533-position model. The record is from RNAcentral.